GGAGAGGUGUCCGAGUGGCUGAAGGAGCACGCUUGGAAAGCGUGUUCUCGCGAAAGCGGGACGUGGGUUCGAAUCCCACCCUCUCCGCCA
RNAcentral lists this transfer RNA (90 nucleotides) under Acidobacteriota bacterium. Its description in RNAcentral is "Acidobacteria bacterium (groundwater metagenome) tRNA-Ser". It matches the Rfam family "tRNA". Rfam says of the family: Transfer RNA (tRNA) molecules are approximately 80 nucleotides in length. Their secondary structure includes four short double-helical elements and three loops (D, anti-codon, and T loops). Further hydrogen bonds mediate the characteristic L-shaped molecular structure. tRNAs have two regions of fundamental functional importance: the anti-codon, which is responsible for specific mRNA codon recognition, and the 3' end, to which the tRNAs corresponding amino acid is attached (by aminoacyl-tRNA synthetases). tRNAs cope with the degeneracy of the genetic code in two manners: having more than one tRNA (with a specific anti-codon) for a particular amino acid; and 'wobble' base-pairing, i.e. permitting non-standard base-pairing at the 3rd anti-codon position. Lineage: Bacteria; Pseudomonadati; Acidobacteriota. The record is from RNAcentral.